AUGCGUAGGCGUUUUGUUAAGUCUUUUGUUAAAGACCUCAGCUUACCUGAGGGAGUGCAGAGGAUACUGGCAGAAUCGAGGAAAUCAGAGGAGAGUGGAAUUCACCGAGGACUAGUGAAAUGGGUUGAUACGGUGAGGAACAUCAAUGGCGUAGGCAGCUCUCUGGGAUUUUUCUGACGCUAAGGCUCGAAAGCGUGGGAUCAAAAC
This 207-nucleotide ribosomal RNA is filed under the name uncultured bacterium. RNAcentral's name for it is "partial 16S ribosomal RNA". It matches the Rfam family "Bacterial small subunit ribosomal RNA", at positions 567 to 773 of the family's 1533-position model. The record is from RNAcentral.